UACGGGGGGGGCAAGCGUUGUUCGGAAUUACUGGGCGUAAAGGGCUCGUAGGCGGCCAACUAAGUCCGACGUGAAAUCCCCAGGCUCAACCUGGGAACUGCAUCCGAAACUGCCUUGCUAGAGUAUGGGAGAGGGAAGUGGAAUUUCCGGUGUAGCGGUGAAAUGCGUAGAUAUCGGAAGGAACAUCAGUGGCGAAGGCGACUUCCUGGACCAAUACUGACGCUCAGGUGCGAAAGCGUGGGGAGCAAACAGG
This 253-nucleotide ribosomal RNA is filed under the name uncultured bacterium. RNAcentral describes it as "partial 16S ribosomal RNA". It matches the Rfam family "Bacterial small subunit ribosomal RNA", at positions 524 to 776 of the family's 1533-position model. The record is from RNAcentral.